This is a non-coding RNA of Cricetulus griseus (Chinese hamster), 580 nucleotides long. NCBI's taxonomy places the organism in Eukaryota, Metazoa, Chordata, Mammalia, Rodentia, Cricetidae. The record is from RefSeq and is a predicted model, not a curated record.
GACAAGCUUUCAGGGGGUUCUAUUUCUAUCGAAGAAAGACAGCACCAAAAGGCGUCCAUGGUCUUGUCCUCACAUCACCUCUACCAGUUUGAUCUCUCAUGUCAUGCUUGAGCCCAGACACAAGGUUUCUCCUAGCCAAACUGGCCAGCCCAUCCAUCAAGGACUGCUUGUGUGCUCCUGUCCUAUUGCAUACUCAGCCUGUUUCUCCACAUGUGAGGUCCAUCCUCUUCCCAGCCUUCUCACUACUUGGCAUUCACUAUACCACUUCCCUCAGAAGUGUUUCUAAGAGAUCAUAUGCAAAUGAGAAGGGAGAAGUUUGGAAGGAAAGUUACAGCUCUUCGCUCUUUGUAGCAUCUGGAUUGGGAUACUGAAGAUCAAUCAUGGGAGCAACAACACUGCCUUUAUUCACUGUCUGUCAACAACGUGGAACAGGUGGGAAUGAGUCUCAUCAUUAAUUAUACCUGACACAACCUCAACCCUGCCUUGCGUCAAUAGGAGUCUGUGAAGAGGUGCUCCAGCGGUUUAGAAACAUUUGAAGGGAGAUUUAAGACAUCAGGUAAUGUGAAAGAUGGGAGGGCGU